CCCAGUAGUUACAUAUUAUAAAAUCAGGCAAGCCAACCACAAAUGGGCACUAAAAAUGGAAUGCUAACUUAAGUUUAUAUGUCAAUUUUACAUCUGUAAGGAACUUUUUUAUGUCUUUUCUGUGACUUGACAAAAAAAUUUGCAUGCUAAAAUAAUGCUCAUUUGAUUGUCAUAUAUUACAAGGUUGAUGUACUAAUACAAUAGAGCUAUCUCUGGUAUGGUUCAAGCACUGGUGAUUCUGAUUCUCAGGCUUCAGGGGCAUAUAUUUUCCGGCCUAAUGGGGCACCUCCAACUGUUGUUUCAAGAUCAGUUCCACUAAAGGUCAUUCGUGGAGCUUUAUUUGAUGAGAUUCACCAACAGUUCAAUUCAUGGAUCUAUCAAGU
Humulus lupulus (European hop) is the source of this 383-nucleotide long non-coding RNA. RefSeq lists it as uncharacterized. The record is from RefSeq and is a predicted model, not a curated record. NCBI's taxonomy places the organism in Eukaryota, Viridiplantae, Streptophyta, Magnoliopsida, Rosales, Cannabaceae. The transcript has 3 exons.